This is a ribosomal RNA of 957 nucleotides. The stretch from base 638 to 916 matches the Rfam family "Bacterial large subunit ribosomal RNA", at positions 2073 to 2647 of the family's 2925-position model.
UAUUUAUAAGUUAAGUUUAAUUAUUUUAUUGUAGGUUUAUGUGCCUUUUGCAUCAUGCUUGAGUGAUUUUAGGAAAAACUUUCUUUAAUCGAAAAUUUUGGAUCUUACACAGUCUUGCUAAGUGAGUAAUUCGAGUAGACAUAUUAAAGGCUUGUGUAUGUUGUGAUAAAUUAGGCGUCAAAAUUUAUAUCUAUUUAAUGACUUUUAUUUUUAAUUAGUUUCUGAGCGAGGAUGUUUGGAAGCAGUAUAUACUAUUUAUUAUUUUAUUUUUAUAGUGGGGUUAAAAUUACCUCUUUAUUGUAAGUUUGUUAUAAAUUUAAAUAUUAGGUUUAAUAGUUAUAUUUAAUGGUCAUUCUUUUAAUAUGUUGGUAGUGAAUAUGCUUAAAUAAGUAAUUAUAACACAUAUUUUAUUUCUCGUGAUUUGCCCGUCUGUUUAUUAAAAACAUUGCCAUAAAAAAUUUUUUAUGGUAGUACCUGCUCUAUGUUAUUUAUAAAUGGCCGCAGUAUCUUGACUGUGCGAAGGUAGCAUAAUUAAUUGCCUUAUAAUUGAAGGCUUGUUUGAAUGGUUUGACGAGGUAAAGGUAAAUAUAAUUUGUAUUAUUGAAAUUAUUGUAGAGGGCACAGAAACCUCUAUAUUUAAUUAGACGGAAAGACCCCGGGAUCUUUUAUUUUUGCUUGGGGCAAGUUAAAAUUUUUCAUUUUUAUUAUGACCCUGAUGGUAUAAUGAGCUAAGUUACCCCGGGGAUAACAGUGUUAUAGCUUAUUAGAGAUCUUAUCGAUUAAGCUGUUUGCUACCUCGAUGUUGACUUAGGUUACGUUUUAGGCGCAGUAGUUUAAAAUUUAGGUCUGUUCGACCUUAUUAACCUCCAUGAGUUGAGUUAAGACCGGUGUAAGCCAGGUCGGUUCUUAUCUAUUAAUCUUACUUACUAGUACGAAAGGACCGUAAGUUUUUUUAUU